RNAcentral lists this transfer RNA (84 nucleotides) under Echinostoma caproni. It matches the Rfam family "tRNA". Rfam says of the family: Transfer RNA (tRNA) molecules are approximately 80 nucleotides in length. Their secondary structure includes four short double-helical elements and three loops (D, anti-codon, and T loops). Further hydrogen bonds mediate the characteristic L-shaped molecular structure. tRNAs have two regions of fundamental functional importance: the anti-codon, which is responsible for specific mRNA codon recognition, and the 3' end, to which the tRNAs corresponding amino acid is attached (by aminoacyl-tRNA synthetases). tRNAs cope with the degeneracy of the genetic code in two manners: having more than one tRNA (with a specific anti-codon) for a particular amino acid; and 'wobble' base-pairing, i.e. permitting non-standard base-pairing at the 3rd anti-codon position. Lineage: Eukaryota; Metazoa; Platyhelminthes; Trematoda; Plagiorchiida; Echinostomatidae. The record is from Rfam by way of RNAcentral.
GGCCUUGUAGCUCAGCUGGUAGAGCAUGCAUUGUACACAAGGGUAGGCGUCGUCCAUGCGUGGGUUCAAAUCCCACCGAGGCUA